Molecule: ribosomal RNA, 460 nt
Filed under: uncultured bacterium
Lineage: Bacteria
Description: partial 16S ribosomal RNA
Rfam family: Bacterial small subunit ribosomal RNA
Source: RNAcentral
CCUACGUGUGGCUGCAGUGAGGAAUAUUGGUCAAUGGCCGGAAGGCUGAACCAGCCAUGCCGCGUGAAGGUCAGUGCCCUAUGGGCGUUAAACUUCUUUUGUGCGGGAGCAAUAAUGGUCACGUGUGGCCAGACGAGAGUACCGUACGAAUAAGCAUCGGCUAACUCCGUGCCAGCAGCCGCGGUAAUACGGGGGAUGCAAGGGUUUUCCGGAUUUUUUGGGGUUCAAGGGUGCGUGAGCUGGGAGGUAAGUCAGUGGUGAAAUGCCUCCGCCCAACGGGGGGAAGUGCCAUUGAUACUGGCUUGCUGGAAUGCAGAGGAGGUAGGAGGAAUGUGUGGUGUAGCGGUGAAAUGCAUAGAUAUCACACAGAACACCGAUUGCGAAGGCAUCUCACGAAUCCGCGAUUGACGCUGAUGCACGAAAGCGUGGGUAUCAAACAGGAUUAGAUACCCCGGUAGUC